UAAGAGUUACAAAUACUCUACCAACGCUAAUUCUUUCCUGCUCUUCUAACCUCCAUUUAGAAAAGUGAGCUAUGCACACAAAGCAGUAAUAAUAAAAGCAGAAAUGGUGUCUUCUGAAAUGUCUUUUUUCAGGACUUUCGAAGGUCACAGUCAAGAUAAUGAACAAAAAGUGCCUAACAGGGGCAAGAUGAAAAACACUGAUUAGAAAGGACAGUCUCAAAAUUGCAAUAUAAUGGCUUAAAGCCCCCCACCCCCGAGGAUUUCAGCACAAGAAAAAAAGGAUUAUUCAGCCUGAUUUGUGCAGAUACUGUAUAAAACAUAUGAAGAGAGAAAGAGCAAGCAGGUCAAAAGCAUCAUGGAGCCAGCAAACAGGGCCUUCUAACAGGGUUAGCAGUUUGCAGGCAUUUGCUGGGGGCAAGAGGAGGAAGGAGAAGAGAAGCCAGGCACCAGAUCUUUCUCAGGGAAGGUGAAGACCGCCACAGUGCUUUCUCCGGUGGUGCCUCCUCGCACACAAGAGGGACUCUCCACAGACAUCCAAAGAAUUAUCUCAAUAUUGUUCUUCAAAUCCUUCCUUCCCGUUACUCUAUUUUCUACCACAAACACAACAGCAAAACAAAACAAACCACUUGAUAAAGUGUAGGCUGCUGAUGUACUAUGACUACUAUCUAUCAUGCUGACCAGUAUUGUUUCACUGUUUCCUCUUACGC
Alligator sinensis (Chinese alligator) is the source of this 707-nucleotide long non-coding RNA. RefSeq lists it as uncharacterized. Lineage: Eukaryota; Metazoa; Chordata; Crocodylia; Alligatoridae. The transcript is spliced from 3 exons. The record is from RefSeq and is a predicted model, not a curated record.